CAUAAUGGAUCGCCCCGAGUCACAUUGAUGACCUGAACAGACUGACCAAUAAAGGAAGCCGGUUAAAUUCCGGCGCUGCCCCGCAACUGUAAGCGGAACGAAAUCCACAAAAUGCCACGGACAUGAAAAUGUCGGGAAGGCGUGGAGAGUAAGCUGCCGCAAGCCAGGAGACUUUAUGGACAGUCCAACAUA
RNAcentral lists this non-coding RNA (192 nucleotides) under Smithella sp. The record is from RNAcentral. Lineage: Bacteria; Pseudomonadati; Thermodesulfobacteriota; Syntrophia; Syntrophales; Smithellaceae.